Molecule: ribosomal RNA, 414 nt
Filed under: uncultured bacterium
Lineage: Bacteria
Description: bacterial SSU rRNA
Rfam family: Bacterial small subunit ribosomal RNA
Source: RNAcentral
UAGGGAAUCUUCCGCAAUGGACGAAAGUCUGACGGAGCAACGCCGCGUGAACGAUGAAGGCCUUCGGGUCGUAAAGUUCUGUUGUUAGGGAAGCGGUACCUAACCAGAAAGCCACGGCUAACUACGUGCCAGCAGCCGCGGUAAUACGUAGGUGGCAAGCGUUGUCCGGAAUUAUUGGGCGUAAAGCGCGCGCAGGCGGUUUUUUAAGUCUGAUGUGAAAGCCCACGGCUCAACCGUGGAGGGCAUUGGAAACUGGAGAACUUGAGUGCAGAAGAGGAGAGCGGAAUUCCACGUGUAGCGGUGAAAUGCGUAGAGAUGUGGAGGAACACCAGUGGCGAAGGCGGCUCUCUGGUCUGUAACUGACGCUGAGGCGCGAAAGCGUGGGGAGCAAACAGGAUUAGAUACCCGAGUAGU